UCGAUAGAGGCGCGGAACGCAUCAGUACUCCCACGACCAACCGGGACGGGCAUCCUACGUGGGAGGAAAGGGCAAUCCGCCGAAGCAUUGGAAGCCGCCCGGAUUUCGGUGCUGGGACGUCAGAGAAUAUCUGCCGUACUGUCACAUUGCGUGGAGCGCUAUCA
RNAcentral lists this non-coding RNA (164 nucleotides) under human gut metagenome. Its description in RNAcentral is "Lysine riboswitch". It matches the Rfam family "Lysine riboswitch aptamer". Rfam says of the family: Riboswitches are metabolite binding domains within certain messenger RNAs that serve as precision sensors for their corresponding targets. The record is from RNAcentral.